This 18-nucleotide small nuclear RNA is filed under the name Arabidopsis thaliana (thale cress). Its description in RNAcentral is "snRNA_15119". The record is from RNAcentral. Lineage: Eukaryota; Viridiplantae; Streptophyta; Magnoliopsida; Brassicales; Brassicaceae.
UAAUGCACCGGAUCCCAU